AACAUACCUAAAACGUUGCUUCGGCGGGAACAGACGGCCCCGUAAGACGGGCCGCCCCCGCCAGAGGACCCCUAACUCUGUUGCUAUAUGUAUCUUCUGAGUAAACAAGCAAAUAAAUUAAAACUUUCAACAACGGAUCUCUUGGCUCUGGCAUCGAUGAAGAACGCAGCGAAAUGCGAUAAGUAAUGUGAAUUGCAGAAUUCAGUGAAUCAUCGAAUCUUUGAACGCACAUUGCGCCCGCCAGUAUUCUGGCGGGCAUGCCUGUUCGAGCGUCAUUACAACCCUCAGGCCCCCGGGCCUGGCGUUGGGGAUCGGCGGAACCCCCCCGCGGGCACGCGCCGUCCCCCAAAUACAGUGGCGGUCCCGCCGCAGCUUCCAUUGCGUAGUAGCUAACACCUCGCAACUGGAGAGCGGCGCGGCCAUGCCGUAAAACACCCAACUUCUGAA
RNAcentral lists this unclassified non-coding RNA (447 nucleotides) under Fusarium solani. RNAcentral's name for it is "sequence contains 18S rRNA gene, ITS1, 5.8S rRNA gene, ITS2, 28S rRNA gene". The stretch from base 122 to 275 matches the Rfam family "5.8S ribosomal RNA". The record is from RNAcentral. Lineage: Eukaryota; Fungi; Ascomycota; Sordariomycetes; Hypocreales; Nectriaceae.